This 73-nucleotide transfer RNA is filed under the name Kitasatospora indigofera. RNAcentral describes it as "tRNA-Glu". The record is from RNAcentral. RNAcentral also lists the same sequence under 1 other name. Lineage: Bacteria; Bacillati; Actinomycetota; Actinomycetes; Kitasatosporales; Streptomycetaceae.
GCGUCGGAGGUGCUGGUGGAGCACGCCCUACUUUCAGUAGGGAGAGUCCGUUCAAAUCGGGCCCGGCGCUCCA